CUGGGAUCCACGUGGUUACGGUGGGAGCUGAUUACAAGACCACAAAUCCAUUCCAGAAGUCGCCUGUUGGGGCCUACUUCACCAUUCCGUCCAUAUUUCUCCGAGCCUUGACGCAAGAGGAGGUUAAAACUUUGGUCAACUGUUCAGAAUCUCUGGACGGGGACAUUGGUCCAGGCAAAUGGAACUUUACCUGGGUGAAGGAUGUCUUGAAAGGGGCAGAAACUACUCUCGUAAUUGAUGGAUACCCGCUGACAGCCUCUCCGAUUAACCAGGGUAGUGUAGACUACGUCUUCCUAGACACUGACAACGCCGAUGGAGAAAGGCUUUCAUUCAUAAAAUCACGGACCUUGGAAGAUGUGUGUGAAGUAGCCGACAGAGGCAGGUAUAUCCUGGUGAGUGGAACUUACACCUACUCCGAAGCUCAGAGCACCUGCGAGGCUUACGGAGGGCAGUUGCCUGGUCGUGGCAAGGACACCAGAAAAGCAGCUUCUAGGGUAAGGAAGGAUAUCCUGACUGCAAGGUAGGUCGAAAUUUUAUGAGCUUACGUUACGUACGUUUUCUGUAGUUUCUCCUAACUGGGAUGGAAUGGAGUGAAAAUUGACACAAUGGUCAAAGCCUUAGUCAUACUUUUAUCUGCUGAAAUCUG
Long non-coding RNA from Macrobrachium nipponense, 646 nucleotides. RefSeq lists it as uncharacterized. NCBI's taxonomy places the organism in Eukaryota, Metazoa, Arthropoda, Malacostraca, Decapoda, Palaemonidae. The transcript has 3 exons. The record is from RefSeq and is a predicted model, not a curated record.